UGCGUAGGCGGGCUAAUAAGUCAGUGGUGAAAUCUCUCGGCUCAACCGGGAAACUGCCAUUGAUACUGUUAGUCUUGAGUUCGGUUGAGGUAGGCGGAAUGUGUAAUGUAGCGGUGAAGUGCUUAGAUAUUACACAGAACACCAAUUGCGUAGGCAGCUUACUAGACCGACACUGACGCUGAGGCACGAAAGCGUGGGGAGCGAACAGGAUUAGAUACCCUGGUAGUCC
RNAcentral lists this ribosomal RNA (229 nucleotides) under uncultured bacterium. RNAcentral's name for it is "partial 16S ribosomal RNA". It matches the Rfam family "Bacterial small subunit ribosomal RNA", at positions 568 to 796 of the family's 1533-position model. The record is from RNAcentral.